RNAcentral lists this ribosomal RNA (460 nucleotides) under uncultured bacterium. RNAcentral's name for it is "partial 16S ribosomal RNA". It matches the Rfam family "Bacterial small subunit ribosomal RNA", at positions 338 to 795 of the family's 1533-position model. The record is from RNAcentral.
CCUACGGGAGACAGCAGUGAGGAAUAUUGGUCAAUGGGCGGGAGCCUGAACCAGCCAAGUCGCGUGAGGGAAGACGGUCCUAUGGAUUGUAAACCUCUUUAGGCGGGGAGCAAUGCCGGGCACGCGUGCCCGGAGGGAGAGUACCCGCAGAAUAAGCAUCGGCUAACUCCGUGCCAGCAGCCGCGGUAAUCCGGAGGAUGCGAGCGUUAUCCGGAUUUAUUGGGGUUAAAGGGUGCGUAGGCGGAUUUUUAAGUCAGCGGUAAAAUGUCCGGGCUCAACCCGGGCCGGCCGUUGAAACUGGUGUGCUUGAGUGUGCGGUAUGUUGUCGUAUGUCGUGGUGUAGCGGUGAAAGGCAUAGAUAUCACGCAGAACUCCGAUUGCGAAGGCAGCAUACCGGCGCCCGACUGACGCUGAGGCACGAAAGCGUGGGGAUCGAACAGGAUUAGAUACCCUUGUAGUC